Molecule: ribosomal RNA, 1045 nt
Filed under: Bacillus sp. (in: firmicutes)
Lineage: Bacteria; Bacillati; Bacillota; Bacilli; Caryophanales; Bacillaceae
Description: bacterial SSU rRNA
Rfam family: Bacterial small subunit ribosomal RNA
Source: RNAcentral
AACCUGCCUGUAAGACUGGGAUAACUCCGGGAAACCGGGGCUAAUACCGGAUGGUUGUCUGAACCGCAUGGUUCAGACAUAAAAGGUGGCUUCGGCUACCACUUACAGAUGGACCCGCGGCGCAUUAGCUAGUUGGUGAGGUAACGGCUCACCAAGGCGACGAUGCGUAGCCGACCUGAGAGGGUGAUCGGCCACACUGGGACUGAGACACGGCCCAGACUCCUACGGGAGGCAGCAGUAGGGAAUCUUCCGCAAUGGACGAAAGUCUGACGGAGCAACGCCGCGUGAGUGAUGAAGGUUUUCGGAUCGUAAAGCUCUGUUGUUAGGGAAGAACAAGUGCCGUUCAAAUAGGGCGGCACCUUGACGGUACCUAACCAGAAAGCCACGGCUAACUACGUGCCAGCAGCCGCGGUAAUACGUAGGUGGCAAGCGUUGUCCGGAAUUAUUGGGCGUAAAGGGCUCGCAGGCGGUUUCUUAAGUCUGAUGUGAAAGCCCCCGGCUCAACCGGGGAGGGUCAUUGGAAACUGGGGAACUUGAGUGCAGAAGAGGAGAGUGGAAUUCCACGUGUAGCGGUGAAAUGCGUAGAGAUGUGGAGGAACACCAGUGGCGAAGGCGACUCUCUGGUCUGUAACUGACGCUGAGGAGCGAAAGCGUGGGGAGCGAACAGGAUUAGAUACCCUGGUAGUCCACGCCGUAAACGAUGAGUGCUAAGUGUUAGGGGGUUUCCGCCCCUUAGUGCUGCAGCUAACGCAUUAAGCACUCCGCCUGGGGAGUACGGUCGCAAGACUGAAACUCAAAGGAAUUGACGGGGGCCCGCACAAGCGGUGGAGCAUGUGGUUUAAUUCGAAGCAACGCGAAGAACCUUACCAGGUCUUGACAUCCUCUGACAAUCCUAGAGAUAGGACGUCCCCUUCGGGGGCAGAAUGACAGGUGGUGCAUGGUUGUCGUCAGCUCAUGUCCUGAAAUGUUGGGUUAAGUCCCGCAACGAGCCCAACCCUGGAUCUUAGUUGCCAGCAUUCAAUUGGGCACUCUAAGGUGACUGCCG